RNAcentral lists this ribosomal RNA (207 nucleotides) under uncultured bacterium. RNAcentral's name for it is "partial 16S ribosomal RNA". It matches the Rfam family "Bacterial small subunit ribosomal RNA", at positions 568 to 774 of the family's 1533-position model. The record is from RNAcentral.
CGUGUAGGCGGGACAGCAAGUCGGGUGUGAAAGCCCUGGGCUCAACCCAGGAAGGGCAUUCGAUACUACUGUUCUUGAGUAUGACAGAGGAAAGCGGAAUUCCCGGUGUAGCGGUGAAAUGCGUAGAUAUCGGGAAGAACACCUGUGGCGAAGGCGGCUUUCUGGGUCACAACUGACGCUGAGGCGCGAAAGCUAGGGGAGCGAACG